Molecule: ribosomal RNA, 1280 nt
Filed under: Sinopyrophorus schimmeli
Lineage: Eukaryota; Metazoa; Arthropoda; Insecta; Coleoptera; Elateridae
Description: Elateridae sp. JWH-2018 16S ribosomal RNA
Rfam family: Archaeal large subunit ribosomal RNA (bases 1040-1198)
Source: RNAcentral
UGAGGGAUUGAAUUAUUAAUUUUUGUGAGGAAAAUAUUCUUUAUUUUUAUUACGGAUCAGGAAAAAAAAAUUUUUAAUUAUAGUUUAAUAGUAAAGUGGUUGAAUUUUGAAAUAUAAAUUAUCUGUUUGAAAGAAGAGUUUAUUUUUUGUACCUUGUGUAUCAGGGUUGAUUAAUUAAUUUUUAUUUAUUUUAAAUUUCUCGAAUUAGAAAGGGCUAAAUAAUUAUUUAUUUACUUGUGUUAUAAAGUUUUAAAAUUUUUAUUUAGUAAUGAAACGUUAAUCGUUUUCUAAUAUAUCUAGUUUUCUAAGAAAAGAAUUAAAUUCUAUCAUUUUUUAUUUUAAAAUUAAUUUUUAAUUUUAAUAUGUAAGUGUUAAAUAUCUAAUGGGAUGAGCUUUUAGAUAAAUUAUUAAAAAUUUUGUUUUAAUUAAAUUAUUUGUAUAAUUGAAAUUGUUAAUCUUUUGAAUAAUUUUAUAAUUAAUAUUUUUUAAUUAUUAUUUUUAUUUAUUUUAAAUAUUUUAUUAGAAUAUAAUUUAAAAUUUGUUAUAUUUAGUAAUAAUGAUUAAAUUAGUAAAUUUGAUUUGUUUAUAGAAUUUAUUUUGUUAGGUUUAGUAAAGGAAUUCGGCAAAUAGUUUUCUGCCUGUUUAUUAAAAACAUGUCUUUUUGAUUAUAAUUUAAAGUCUAAUCUGCUCAAUGAGGAGUUAAAUUGCCGCGGUAUUUUGACCGUGCAAAGGUAGCAUAAUAAUUAGCUUUUUGAUUGGGGGCUAGAAUGAAUGAUUGGACAAGAAAACUACUGUCUCUAUUAAAUUUUAAAUUUAAUUUAACUUUUGAGUAAAAAGGCUCAAAUUUUAUUUAAAGACGAUAAGACCCUAUAGAGUUUAAUCUUUUCUUUAAUUUUGAUAAGUUUAGGUAUUUUUAUUAAAAUUUAUUGAAAAUAUUUGGUUGGGGUGACUAGAAGAUUAUAUAAACUCUUCUGUAUUUAAUCAUUUAUUUAUGAAUAUCAAAUCUAGAUUUUCUAAUUUUAAAAUAAAUUACCUUAGGGAUAACAGCGUAAUUUUUCUUUAGAGUUCUUAUCGAUAGAAAAGUUUGCGACCUCGAUGUUGGAUUAAAAUUUAUUAUUGGCGCAAAAGCUUAUUAAUUAAGUCUGUUCGACUUUUAAAAUUUUACAUGAUCUGAGUUUAAACCGGUGUGAGCCAGGUUGGUUUCUAUCUUAAAUUAUUUAUAAUAUUUUAGUACGAAAGGACCAAGUAUUGAAUGAAUCAUUUUUGUUUUGAAUUAAAUU